AGAAACAGGAUUAGAUACCCUGGUAGUCCACGCUGUAAACGAUGAGUACUAGGUGUCGGGGGUUACCCCCUUCGGUGCCGCAGCUAACGCAUUAAGUACUCCGCCUGGGAAGUACGCUCGCAAGAGGGAAACUCAAAGGAAUUGACGGGGACCCGCACAAGUAGCGGAGCAUGUGGUUUAAUUCGAAGCAACGCGAAGAACCUUACCUAAGCUUGACAUCCCAAUGACAUCUCCUUAAUCGGAGAGUUCCCUUC
RNAcentral lists this ribosomal RNA (254 nucleotides) under Clostridioides difficile. RNAcentral's name for it is "partial 16S ribosomal RNA". It matches the Rfam family "Bacterial small subunit ribosomal RNA", at positions 768 to 1021 of the family's 1533-position model. The record is from RNAcentral. Lineage: Bacteria; Bacillati; Bacillota; Clostridia; Peptostreptococcales; Peptostreptococcaceae.